CAGCUGGGGAAUGCAAGAGCUUUUCAGGGUGAGUUGGGGUGGCUGUAACGGGGACACAAUCGGUGUGUGUGUGUUGAUGGAUAAAGAAAGCCAAACAGAACAGAUAAGCUACAACUGGGUUUUUUGUUUUGUUUUUUUACCAGUAUGGAACAAACUGCGCUCCGGUUUUGCGCAUAUCGACUUGGAAGUUCCUCUAAGCUCCUUGGGUCUUAUUCCCAGUAAAUGUGAAUAGGAUCGCAGCCUCAAAGCAGUUGCUCAAAGAAACAACCCUCCUUGUUUGGGCUUGCUUUGUAAGUUUGCUGCCUAACAAGUGAAUGUCCUGCUUCCGUGCACCAAUAGUUUUAUACAGUGCAAGUCGAGUUCAGAAAGUCUGCAAAUUCUAUCGUUUGGGAGCUAACUUUUAAGUGGAAUUGUUUUCCCACACGCCUUUUUUUUAAAAGGAGCAGCGUCAGGUAGAAUUGCCAACUUUUCAAGUGGACUCUAUGCAGCUCUGCCUUUCAUAGCGACUUCCUGUGCAGACAUUAGCAGUAGAUAAAGUUUCAUCUCCUUGAUGUGUUUUGGGGGCGGGCAGGCCGGGAUCACCUGUUGGAUUGUUAAAGGCCACAAAAACCGCCAAAGCCCAUUAGUUGGUUUGCUGGUGCCAGGACUCUGGUUUGACUAGGAAACCUGGAAGUCUUAGAAUAUGUAACGAUCAGAACUGUGGUUGUUCAGUGGGUGAAAGAAAGAUCCUCUUUGCAUGUUCAAAGAUAAAACAUUUAUGGACCAAUUGGGAGGCUGACCCCCCCCUCCGUUUGUUCUUCCACUAUCAUAAUGUGCUGCUGUCACAUGCCAUCCCAGUUUUGCGCCGUGAAUUGCAAGCAGAGACUCUGUAAAAGUAAUAAUAAUGAUAUAUUCUACCCUGUUUCCCAAGUAGUUCAGGGCAUCAUCAACAUUAAUUUCAUUUAACACUUCCUUUUUGCUAUGAAGUCUCAAAGUGACUUGAAAACAGUAAAAUACAGGAUAUAAAAACAAUUUAAAACCAGAGAAGGUUUAAUCACUAGUAACAAUAUACAUGAAAUGCUCAUCCAAUAAUAAAUGAAUAAGAGUCAAGUCCUACCCACCCCACUAAAAGAUGAGCACCACCACAUGAGGCAAAAUGAAUUAGAAAAGUCUUGGGCUGGUGACUGAACACUGACAAAGAUGGGGCCAAGUCUCUCUCUCUGAGAAUACAUGUUUCCCGUCCUUUACUACAACAAGAACCCUGUCACUCCCCCACCCCCAGUCAAGCUUCCACAGCUCUUGCCUUUCCUUGUAGGGCAGGUGUUCCAGCCUGGCCCCCACUUUGGUUCUCCUUUUCUCCCCCCUUUGGUUCUCCUUUUCUCCCCCCUGUAAGUUUUUACAAUAUCCUUCUUGAGAUGAGGCAACCAGCACUGUACAUAGUGUUCCACGUGUGGCCUCAUCAAAGAUUGGUAUGAUAUUGGCAAUGUUCUUUGCCGUUCCUUUCCUAUUAAUUCCUAGUGUGGCAUCCACCAUCCUCAUGGCUGCUGUACAUUACACUGCCAUUUCCAUGGAGUUGUUUGUCACAACAGUCCCAAGAUUUCUUUCCUGAUCAGUCGCUGCCAGUUCAAUAUAUGCGAAACAAAGAUUGUGGGGGGAGGGGGGAAGGUGGCUUUUCUGUUUGCUUUUUGCCCCAGUGUGAUCACACAGCACUUACACUGAACAUCAUUUGCCAUUUAUCUGGCUUUAUUGUCCAUUCACCCAGCUUGGAGAAAUCUGUGUUUGGAGCUUUUCAUGUUUGCCUUGCAUUUUCACCACCUUAAAUAACUUUGUUAGCAAACCUGGUGACCUCACUGCUCACUUCCAGCACCUGUUCAAUUCCUAAGAAGUUUUGCAAAACUGAAAUAAAUAAAAUCUAAUAAAAUUUCCUUUUAUUUACAUACACACGAUAUUGCCAGCACUAUUCGCCAUUCAAUGCAAGUUGUGCUGGUACCAUACACAAGUUUCUUUUUUGACUUGUUGAGGCACAGGAAUAUGCAUUACAAGCACAGUCCAGCUCUUAACAAUGUUUACUGCACCGUUCCUAUACUUCAAAAUCACCUGCCAAAAAAGCUGUAAAUACACCCUGCCCGGCACCUGCCCAUUAAGUGUUAUUGUGGUUAAUUCUGCAGGCAGUGUCUGUUUCCUUAUUACUAAACAGCUGUCAAGCAUUACCAUUUCCUAAAUAUUUAUAUGCAUGCCGGUGAGUGUAGAGAGACUGGCACAGAACAAAGGGCCCAGAGCUAGUUGCAGAGUGUAAUUUGAUACAGGUGCACUCGCCAAAACAGCAUACCUGAGGCUGAUAAAAAAGUCCUAGCUGAGUUUGGCGCUGCCUCCCAGUAGUUCUAGGGACGUAGUUCUUCCUUUUUUAAACUCCUCAAUUGUUUCUUUGUUUUAUUUAUUUAUCAUGUGUAUAUUGCACCAUUCCUCCAGGAUUAUCCCAUUUUUAUCCUCAGAACAACCAUGAGAUAAAAUAGAGCGUUGGCCGUUGAUGUAUAUGUUGCAUUUUUAGCCCAUAUUUUGGGCAGCAUGCAUGGGACUUCCCUUCUGUUCCUCAUCUUCAAAACAACUCUGUAGGAUCCCGAUUGGCCCGAAGUCAUGCAAAGACCUUCAUGGCAGGGUGAAGCUUUGAACUGAGGUCUCCAUGGCCGAAAUGCAGCACUGUUCCUACAGCAUACUGGCUUUCAAUAGCUACUUGCUCAAGACCAGCCAACAAGUACUUUGCUCUAAAGCCAAAUAUGCCUAGAGGCAGCUGGUUGUCAUUACUGUAUUAAAU
Podarcis lilfordi (Lilford's wall lizard) is the source of this 2791-nucleotide non-coding RNA. The record is from the annotation of a GenBank genome assembly. NCBI's taxonomy places the organism in Eukaryota, Metazoa, Chordata, Lepidosauria, Squamata, Lacertidae.